RNAcentral lists this transfer RNA (88 nucleotides) under Frankineae bacterium MT45. It matches the Rfam family "tRNA". Rfam says of the family: Transfer RNA (tRNA) molecules are approximately 80 nucleotides in length. Their secondary structure includes four short double-helical elements and three loops (D, anti-codon, and T loops). Further hydrogen bonds mediate the characteristic L-shaped molecular structure. tRNAs have two regions of fundamental functional importance: the anti-codon, which is responsible for specific mRNA codon recognition, and the 3' end, to which the tRNAs corresponding amino acid is attached (by aminoacyl-tRNA synthetases). tRNAs cope with the degeneracy of the genetic code in two manners: having more than one tRNA (with a specific anti-codon) for a particular amino acid; and 'wobble' base-pairing, i.e. permitting non-standard base-pairing at the 3rd anti-codon position. The record is from Rfam by way of RNAcentral. Lineage: Bacteria; Bacillati; Actinomycetota; Actinomycetes; Frankiales.
GGAGGGCUCGCAUAGCGGCCGAGUGCGACGGUCUUGAAAACCGUUGUUGGGUGAUCCCCAACCGUGGGUUCAAAUCCCACGCCCUCCG